Molecule: ribosomal RNA, 262 nt
Filed under: uncultured archaeon
Lineage: Archaea
Description: partial 16S ribosomal RNA
Rfam family: Archaeal small subunit ribosomal RNA
Source: RNAcentral
AGGGUGUAAACGCUGCAGACUUGGUGUUGGGAACCCUUCGGGGGUGCUCAGUGCCGGAGAGAAGUUGUUAAGUCUGCUACUUGGGGAGUACGUCCGCAAGGAUGAAACUUAAAGGAAUUGGCGGGGGAGCACCGCAACGGGAGGAGCGUGCGGUUUAAUUGGAUUCAACGCCGAAAAACUCACCAGGGAAGACUGUUACAUGAAGGCCGAGAUGAAGACUCUGCUAGAUUUUUCAGAGAGGAGGUGCAUGGCGUCAGUGACU